Molecule: ribosomal RNA, 499 nt
Filed under: uncultured bacterium
Lineage: Bacteria
Description: partial 16S ribosomal RNA
Rfam family: Bacterial small subunit ribosomal RNA
Source: RNAcentral
AUUGAACGCUGGCGGCAUGCCUUACACAUGCAAGUCGAACGGCAGCACGGGAGCAAUCCCGGUGGCGAGUGGCGAACGGGUGAGUAAAGUAUCGGAACGUGCCCAGUCGUGGGGGAUAACGUAGCGAAAGUUACGCUAAUACCGCAUACGAUCUAUGGAUGAAAGCGGGGGAUCGCAAGACCUCGCGCGAUUGGAGCGGCCGAUAUCAGAUUAGGUAGUUGGUGGGGUAAAGGCUCACCAAGCCGACGAUCUGUAGCUGGUCUGAGAGGACGACCAGCCACACUGGGACUGAGACACGGCCCAGACUCCUACGGGAGGCAGCAGUGGGGAAUUUUGGACAAUGGGCGAAAGCCUGAUCCAGCCAUGCCGCGUGCAGGAUGAAGGCCUUCGGGUUGUAAACUGCUUUUGUACGGAACGAAAAGGUUUGGCCUAAUAAGCUGAGCUCAUGACGGUACCGUAAGAAUAAGCACCGGCUAACUACGUGCCAGCCGCCGCAUAA